RNAcentral lists this microRNA (21 nucleotides) under Glycine max (soybean). Its description in RNAcentral is "gma-miR5782". The record is from miRBase by way of RNAcentral. Lineage: Eukaryota; Viridiplantae; Streptophyta; Magnoliopsida; Fabales; Fabaceae.
UAGCUGGUAGGAGAAGUUCAG